RNAcentral lists this ribosomal RNA (482 nucleotides) under uncultured bacterium. Its description in RNAcentral is "partial 16S ribosomal RNA". It matches the Rfam family "Bacterial small subunit ribosomal RNA", at positions 30 to 507 of the family's 1533-position model. The record is from RNAcentral.
AUUGAACGCUGGCGGCAUGCCUUACACAUGCAAGUCGAGCGGUCACAGGCGGGUGGGUGCUGUCGCUUGGGGUACCGGCGGGUGAUGGAUUGGCACGUGCGCAGUCGUGGUGUAUAACUGCGAGAAAGAGUGGAUACGACCGCAUACGCCCUAUGUUAUAUAGCGUGGCAUGGUACGGGCUUGCGCGAUUGGUGUGGCGGAUGUUAGAUUAGGUAGUUGGUGGGGUAACGGCUCACCAAGGCAACGAUCUGUAGCAGACCUGAGAGGAUGACCAGCCACACUGGGACUGAGACACGGCCCAGACUCCUACGGGAGGCAGCAGCAGGGAAUCUUCCGCAAUGGACGAAAGCCUGAUCGAGCAAUGCCGCGUGAAUGAAGAAGGUCUUCGGAUUGUAAACUUCUGUUGUACGGAAAGAAAAAGCACUGUUGAAUCUCAGCGGAUAAUGACGGUACCGGAACAAUAAGCCCCGGCUAACUACGUG